GUUCAGACUAUGUGACCUGAACGCAGCAUUAGCAGCAGGUGUCCAUAGCAACGGUUAGCCACUAAUGCUACUUGAUAGCUUGCGGCUAAGCUACUUUAGGCUAACUGAUACGUCUGAAACGGAUUUCCAAGAGUUCAGCUGACAAAAAGCACGUCUUAAAAAUGGAUUUGAACACAGCUUCGCUUUUUGCCAGUGGGAAGCGAUGUGUAAAGGCUGCACUACCUCCUGCUGAGACGUUUCAGAUACUCCAGGGCUCAUCGGGGAGAUGGUAACUCAUCAACCAAGUUGGACGAUGCUACGGAGGGAAUUGGAGCCAUAAAAGUGCUGUUCAACCGUUAUUGGUUGUUGCGAGCAGGAGGUCAGACAUCAGGCAGAAGAAUAAAGAUUUUGAAUGUGUGAAG
Molecule: long non-coding RNA, 401 nt
Organism: Amphiprion ocellaris (clown anemonefish)
Lineage: Eukaryota; Metazoa; Chordata; Actinopteri; Pomacentridae
Source: Ensembl